RNAcentral lists this ribosomal RNA (254 nucleotides) under uncultured bacterium. RNAcentral's name for it is "partial 16S ribosomal RNA". It matches the Rfam family "Bacterial small subunit ribosomal RNA", at positions 524 to 776 of the family's 1533-position model. The record is from RNAcentral.
UACAGAGGGUGCGAGCGUUGUUCGGAAUUAUUGGGCGUAAAGGGCGCGUAGGCGGUGCGGUAAGUCACCUGUGAAAUCUCCUGGCUCAACUGGGAGCUUGCAGGCGAAACUGCCGUGCUGGAGUGUGGGAGAGGUGCGUUGGAAUUCCUGGUGUAGCGGUGAAAUGCGUAGAUAUCAGGAGGAACACCUGUGGCGAAAGCGGCGCACUGGACCACAACUGACGCUGAGGCGCGAAAGCUAGGGGAGCAAACAGG